UACGUAGGCAGCGAGCGUUGUUCGGAGUUACUGGGCGUAAAGAGUGCGUAGGCGGUUUUCUAAGUUUGGUGUGAAAUCUCCCGGCUCAACUGGGAGGGUGCGCCGAAAACUGGGGGGCUAGAGUACUGGAUGGGAGAGUGGAAUUCCUGGUGUAGCGGUGAAAUGCGUAGAUAUCAGGAGGAACACCUGUGGUGUAGACGGCUCUCUGGACAGUAACUGACGCUGAGACACGAAAGCGUGGGUAGCAAACAGG
Molecule: ribosomal RNA, 253 nt
Filed under: uncultured bacterium
Lineage: Bacteria
Description: partial 16S ribosomal RNA
Rfam family: Bacterial small subunit ribosomal RNA
Source: RNAcentral